GAAGGUCCAGCGUCGGUGGUGUGCUGGACAGGUUAUGAGCCAUUUAUCUCAUUUGAAAUGUUUUAAUCUCAUGCGUUGGUUUUAAUUACCAUCCCUACAGCGCAUUGACAUAGGUCUAUUGUGGAACGCGCGUUUGUGUCCACUUGAUCUGACACCUCAAUUAAUGACGGAGAUUAAGUGGCUCACGUUUUUUUUAUUUUUUGAUUUUGUUUUAAUUCAUUUAAUUUUC
RNAcentral lists this long non-coding RNA (229 nucleotides) under Lathyrus oleraceus (garden pea). RNAcentral's name for it is "Pisum sativum (pea) long non-coding RNA (PSAT_LNC002420)". The record is from RNAcentral. Lineage: Eukaryota; Viridiplantae; Streptophyta; Magnoliopsida; Fabales; Fabaceae.